CUAGUCAUAUGGAUUCGCCCGCCGCGCCCCGCGCCCGUCCCGCCGCCCCCGCCCGCUCCUACGGGAGGCAGCAGUGAGGAAUAUUGGUCAAUGGGCUUACGCCUGAACCAGCCAAGUCGCGUGAGGGAAGACUGCCCUAUGGGUUGUAAACCUCUUUUGUCAGGGAGCAACGCCGGCUACGUGUAGCCGGACUGAGAGUACCUGAAGAAAAAGCAUCGGCUAACUCCGUGCCAGCAGCCGCGGUAAUACAAUCGG
RNAcentral lists this ribosomal RNA (255 nucleotides) under uncultured organism. RNAcentral's name for it is "partial 16S ribosomal RNA". It matches the Rfam family "Bacterial small subunit ribosomal RNA", at positions 304 to 532 of the family's 1533-position model. The record is from RNAcentral.